AUGUGGAAAGCAAAAAUCCCCCUUAAAAUUCAAAUUUUCCUUUGGCAACUGUUUCAGGAUGCUAUCCUAACUAGAGAUGUGAUGAGUAGACGAAAGUGGCUGGGAAAUCCUGCCUGCUCCUUCUGUGCGGAGAGAGAAACAUCCCAGCAUCUCUUCUUCACUUGCCCUGUGGCCAAAGUCCUCUGGAGGAUUGUAGGCUGUGUACGGGGUACGGAUCUGUGUCCAAGUAACAUUUGGCAGUACUAUUCAUGGGCUUACAUGUUUUUACCUGAUGGGGAGAAAUUUUAUACCUUUGGUCUAGCAGGUUUCUGUUGGGCGAUGUGGAUUAAUCGUAACAGUGUUACCUUUGAGUCUAAACAGAUGAGGUCGCCUUUUGAUGUGGUUUACUCUGCAUGUGGUUUUCUUAACUACUGGGCAGGUUUGAUGACAGGAGAUGAUCGAGAGAUGAUGGAGCGCGGAGCCAAGAUGCUGAGGACCAAUGCAUCGAACAUGAUGCGGAUCUGUGCAGCGCCGAGGGGAACCUCAAACUGA
This 531-nucleotide ribosomal RNA is filed under the name Triticum aestivum (bread wheat). RNAcentral's name for it is "partial small subunit ribosomal RNA". The record is from RNAcentral. Lineage: Eukaryota; Viridiplantae; Streptophyta; Magnoliopsida; Poales; Poaceae.